UUAAGCUAUAAAGAGCAUAGGGUGGAUGCCUAGGCACUGAGAGCCGACGAAAGACGUGAUAAGCUGCGAUAAGCUGCGGUAAGGAGCAAAUAUCCAUUGACCCGCAGAUUUCUGAAUGGGGAAACCUACGCAAGAAGACCUUGCGUACUCAUACAUGAAUACAUAGUGUAUGAGAGGGAACCCGGGGAACUGAAACAUCUAAGUACCCGGAGGAAGAGAAAGAAACAUCGAUUUCCUGAGUAGCGGCGAGCGAAAGGGAAAGAGCCCAAACCAGAGGAUUUAUCCUUUGGGGUUAGGACUGCAUAAUUGAUCUGCAAUUGAUAGGAGAACGGUCUGGGAAGUCCGGCGAGAAAGCGUGAAAGCCGCGUAUCCGAAAUCGAAAGCAGCAAGGCAGGAUCCAGAGUACCACGAGACACGAGAAACCUUGUGGGAAUGAGCGGAGACCACUCCGUAAGGCUAAAUACUACUCAGUGACCGAUAGCGCAUAGUACUGUGAAGGAAAGGUGAAAAGGACCCCGGGAGGGGAGUGAAAGAGAACCUGAAACCCUGUGUUUACAAGCUGUCGAAGCACGCAAGUGCGACGGCGUACUUUUUGUAGAACGGUCCGGCGAGUUAUGAUGAGUGGUAAGGUUAAGGACUUAAGGUCCGGAGCCGAAGCGAAAGCGAGUGUUAAAAGCACGGUUGAAUCGCUUAUCAUAGACCCGAAACCGGGUGAUCUAUCCAUGUCCAGGUUGAAGCUGCCGUAAGAGGUAGUGGAGGACCGAACACACAUCCGUUGAAAAGGGUGGUGAUGAGGUGUGGAUAGGGGAGAAAUUCCAAUCGAACCCGGAGAUAGCUGGUUCUCCUCGAAAUAGCUUUAGGGCUAGCCUCUGGUUAGUCUGCCGCAGGUAGAGCACUGAAUUUCCUAGGGGGCGUCAAAGCCUACCGAAGAAUAUCAAACUGCGAAUGCCGUACAGAUGAUUUACGGGAGUCAGACUGCACGAGAUAAGUUGGGUGGUCAAAAGGGAAAGAGCCCAGACCUACAGCUAAGGUCCCAAAGUGUGUGUUAAGUGGAAAAGGAUGUGGGAUUUCGAAGACAACUAGGAUGUUGGCUCAGAAGCAGCCACACAUUCAAAGAGUGCGUAAUAGCUCACUAGUCGAGAGGUCCUGCGCCGAAAAUGUCCGGGGCUAAAACACAACACCGAAGCUUAGGAAUUCUAAUGAAUUGGUAGAGGAGCAUUGAAGACGGAACGAAGCCAUACCGUAAGGAAUGGUGGACUGUCUUGAAGAGAGAAUGCCGGAAUGAGUAGCGAGAUUGAAGUGAGAAUCUUCAAGGCCGAAUAUCUAAGGUUUCCAGGGUAAAGCUGAUCUGCCCUGGGUAAGUCGGGGCCUAAGGCAAGGUCGAAAGACGUAGUCGAUGGAUAACAGGUUGAAAUUCCUGUACUGCAUCAAAUCAGAAAUGUGGGGACACAUGAGGGAAGCAUGAGCCGGAAAAGGAAAGUCCGGUACAAGCGCAGCAGAGGACAGAUAGGAAAAACCGUCUGUCAACUCGAGGGCGUGAUGUGGAGCGAACCAAAGUAGCGAAGCAUGUGGAGCUUGUGUCGAGAAAAGCCGCUAUAGUGUUUGAUGUACCCGUACCGUAAACCGACACAGGUGGAUGAGGAGAGAAUCCUAAGGCCGGCGGGAGAAGCAUUGUUAAGGAACUCGGCAAAAUGACCCCGUAACUUCGGGAGAAGGGGUGCCUCUGUAACAGGAGGCCGCAGAGAAUUGGCCCAAGCAACUGUUUAGCAAAAACACAGGUCUAUGCAAAACCGAAAGGUGAGGUAUAUGGGCUGACGCCUGCCCGGUGCUGGAAGGUUAAGAGGAGAGGUUAGCGCAAGCGAAGCUUUGAAUUUAAGCCCCAGUAAACGGCGGCCGUAACUAUAACGGUCCUAAGGUAGCGAAAUUCCUUGUC
Molecule: ribosomal RNA, 1933 nt
Filed under: human metagenome
Description: bacterial LSU rRNA
Rfam family: Bacterial large subunit ribosomal RNA
Source: RNAcentral